GUGCCAGCCGCCGCGGUAAUACCGGCAGCUCGAGUGAUGUCCCAUAUUAUUGGGCCUAAAGCGUCCGUAGCUGGCCGAGCAAGUCUCUCGGGAAAUCCACCCGCCCAACGGGUGGGCGUCCGGUAGAAACUGUCUGGCUUGGAACCGGAAGGCUCAGAGAGUACGUCCGGGGUAGGAGUGAAAUCCCGUAAUCCCGGACGGACGACCGAUGGCGAAAGCACUCUGAGAAGACGGCUUCGACAGUGAGGGACGAAAGCUCGGGUCUCAAACCGGAUUAGAAACCCGAGUAGUCC
Molecule: ribosomal RNA, 293 nt
Filed under: uncultured bacterium
Lineage: Bacteria
Description: partial 16S ribosomal RNA
Rfam family: Archaeal small subunit ribosomal RNA
Source: RNAcentral